Molecule: ribosomal RNA, 540 nt
Filed under: uncultured bacterium
Lineage: Bacteria
Description: bacterial SSU rRNA
Rfam family: Bacterial small subunit ribosomal RNA
Source: RNAcentral
AGCGGCGAACGGGUGAGAAAUGCUUCGGAAUCUGCCCAAUGGUGGGGAAUAACCAGCCGAAAGGUUGGCUAAUACCGCAUGAGCCCUACGGGGGAAAGCAGGGGAUCGCAAGACCUUGCGCCGAUGGAUGAGCCGAAGUCGGAUUAGCUAGUUGGUAGGGUAACGGCCUACCAAGGCGACGAUCCGUAGCUGGUCUGAGAGGACGACCAGCCACACUGGGACUGAGACACGGCCCAGACUCCUACGGGAGGCAGCAGUGGGGAAUAUUGGACAAUGGGGGAAACCCUGAUCCAGCGACGCCGCGUGUGUGAAGAAGGCCUGCGGGUUGUAAGGCACUUUUAGUGGGGAUGAAAAGCUCAAAGCUAACACCUCUGGGUCUUGACCUAACCCACAGAAAAAGCACCGGCUAACUCUGUGCCAGCAGCCGCGGUAAUACAGAGGGUGCGAGCGUUAAUCGGAAUUACUGGGCGUAAAGCGUACGUAGACGGUUGGAUAAGUCGGAUGUGAAAGCCCCGGGCUCAACCUGGGAAUGGCAUUCGG